This 382-nucleotide long non-coding RNA is filed under the name Mytilus galloprovincialis (Mediterranean mussel). Lineage: Eukaryota; Metazoa; Mollusca; Bivalvia; Mytilida; Mytilidae. The record is from RNAcentral.
CAUACUUUUAAUACAUUAAUUAUUACAUGUAUGAUCAUAAAAAUUACACAGUAAUUGAACAAUUGAAAUUAUUCUAAUACAUAACUGCUCUUUUAAUUUGAAUCUAUAAACAUGGAAAUGAUGGUGACAAAAUGUAUAACAUGAUCUUCAUGAAAAUAUAAAAUAUGCUUACAUACAAGUUUUUACUAUGCCUCUAUCUGUUACAAAAGUCUAUAUGCUAAAAUCAAUAGAAAUGAUAUGAUGGGGGGAUGAUAAUUAUCCAUCAGAGUCCAAAUGAUAAAUCAGAAAAAAAGGAAACAAAGUCCACAACAGCAGAAACCAUUUGUAGUAAGUUUAAGGUAUGUAAAAUAAUGGGAGUUACUUCUAAAACUAACUCAAAUUU